This 295-nucleotide unclassified non-coding RNA is filed under the name uncultured Ascomycota. RNAcentral describes it as "sequence contains ITS1". The stretch from base 1 to 105 matches the Rfam family "5.8S ribosomal RNA", at positions 50 to 154 of the family's 154-position model. Lineage: Eukaryota; Fungi; Ascomycota. The record is from RNAcentral.
GAAAUGUGAUAAGUAAUGUGAAUUGCAGAUUUCAGUGAAUCAUCGAAUCUUUGAACGCACAUUGCGCCCGCUAGUAUUCUGGCGGGCAUGCCUGUUCGAGCGUCAUUUCAACCAUCAAGCCCCCGGCUUGCGUUGGAGCCCUGCGGCUGCCGCAGGCUCCCAAAUCUAGUGGCGGGCUCGUCGUCGUACCGAGUGCAGUAAACAUCCUCGCUCAGGGAACGCGUCGGGUUCUUGCCGUGAAACCCCCCCUAUUAAGGUUGACCUCGGAUCAGGUAGGAAUACCCGCUGAGUUUAA